GUAAAGGGUUUGGAUUGCGGUAAAAAUCCCCCUUUUACCAUCAUUUGAGGAAAGUACCUUCUUUUCUGCUCUUACAGGGGCUGAAACUGAAGGGGAGAACACAUUUAUUUGCCCUUGUUGAAGUGAGGCGAGCACCUGAGUGUGGCGUCCGUGCUGGAGAGUGGGAGAAGGGUCCCUGCUGGCUGCCGUGUCCUGGGUGGGCACAGAGCUCUGACCUUGGCCAGAUGGGCUGGUCUCCGGGUGUUUUGAUCCUGACGCUGAACUGGGGCUCUUACCUGUGUGACCUGUGAAAUGUCCCGGAAGCUGAUCGAUGUCUUUGUGCUCCCGCUGUGUUCAUUUGGGCUGUGCUUCAGGCUUCUCUCCCGGGGCCCUUGCCGUUGCUGUAUCUCUUGGAUGCCGUGCAGAACGGAAUCAGGCAGCCAAGCCUCAGGUUCACCUUCUCCCUCACCCUCUGCGCUGCUCGUGUGGCACAGCAGAUCCUGAAGCCAGGUACUGGAACGUGCUGCGUGUG
Long non-coding RNA from Vidua macroura (Pin-tailed whydah), 511 nucleotides. RefSeq lists it as uncharacterized. The record is from RefSeq and is a predicted model, not a curated record. NCBI's taxonomy places the organism in Eukaryota, Metazoa, Chordata, Aves, Passeriformes, Viduidae. The transcript is spliced from 3 exons.